CUUCGGAGUGAGCGGCGGACGGGUUAGUAACGCGUGGGAACGUGCCCUUCUCUAAGGAAUAGCCACUGGAAACGGUGAGUAAUACCUUAUACGCCCUUCGGGGGAAAGAUUUAUCGGAGAAGGGUCGGCCCGCGUUAGAUUAGAUAGUUGGUGGGGUAAUGGCCUACCAAGUCUACGAUCUAUAGCUGGUUUUAGAGGAUGAUCAGCAACACUGGGACUGAGACACGGCCCAGACUCCUACGGGAGGCAGCAGUGGGGAAUCUUGGACAAUGGGCGCAAGCCUGAUCCAGCCAUGCCGCGUGAGUGAUGAAGGCCUUAGGGUCGUAAAGCUCUUUCGCCAGAGAUGAUAAUGACAGUAUCUGGUAAAGAAACCCCGGCUAACUCCGUGCCAGCAGCCGCGGUAAUACGGAGGGGGUUAGCGUUGUUCGGAAUUACUGGGCGUAAAGCGCACGUAGGCGGAUCAGAAAGUAUAGGGUGAAAUCCCAGGGCUCAACCCUGGAACUGCCUUGUAAACUCCUGAUCUUGAGUUCG
RNAcentral lists this ribosomal RNA (531 nucleotides) under uncultured Alphaproteobacteria bacterium. RNAcentral describes it as "bacterial SSU rRNA". It matches the Rfam family "Bacterial small subunit ribosomal RNA", at positions 84 to 650 of the family's 1533-position model. The record is from RNAcentral. Lineage: Bacteria; Pseudomonadati; Pseudomonadota; Alphaproteobacteria.